Molecule: non-coding RNA, 45 nt
Filed under: Schistosoma curassoni
Lineage: Eukaryota; Metazoa; Platyhelminthes; Trematoda; Strigeidida; Schistosomatidae
Source: RNAcentral
GUACAGCUGACGAGUUCCAAUUAAAGCGAAACACACGUCCUGUAU